RNAcentral lists this ribosomal RNA (496 nucleotides) under uncultured bacterium. RNAcentral describes it as "bacterial SSU rRNA". It matches the Rfam family "Bacterial small subunit ribosomal RNA", at positions 28 to 520 of the family's 1533-position model. The record is from RNAcentral.
GAUGAACGCUAGCGGCAGGCUUAAUACAUGCAAGUCGUGGGGCAGCGCAGGUAGCAAUACUGGGCGGCGACCGGCAAACGGGUGCGGAACACGUACACAACCUUCCGAGAAGUGGGGAAUAGCCCAGAGAAAUUUGGAUUAAUACCCCGUAACAUAACGAUGUGGCAUCACAUUGUUAUUAUAGCUUCGGCGCUUCUUGAUGGGUGUGCGGCUGAUUAGAUAGUUGGCGGGGUAACGGCCCACCAAGUCUACGAUCAGUAGCUGAUGUGAGAGCAUGAUCAGCCACACGGGCACUGAGACACGGGCCCGACUCCUACGGGAGGCAGCAGUAAGGAAUAUUGGUCAAUGGACGCAAGUCUGAACCAGCCAUGCCGCGUGAAGGAUUAAGGUCCUCUGGAUUGUAAACUUCUUUAUCUGGGACGAAAAAGGCGAUUCUUCGUCACUUGACGGUACCAGAUGAAUAAGCACCGGCUAACUCCGUGCCAGCAGCCGACGG